Molecule: ribosomal RNA, 672 nt
Filed under: Triticum aestivum (bread wheat)
Lineage: Eukaryota; Viridiplantae; Streptophyta; Magnoliopsida; Poales; Poaceae
Description: partial small subunit ribosomal RNA
Source: RNAcentral
AUGUUUCAUGUUAACAUGCUUAGAAAAAUAAUAUUAUCUCACAUCAAUGUCCCGCAGCAACGCGCGGGGCAUCAUCUAGUUAUUGAUAGAAAGGGAGCUAAGAACCCCAUUGCAGACAACUUGUCUAGGUUAGAAAAUGUCCUUGAUGACCCACUGCCUAUUGAUGAUAGCUUUCCUGAUCAACAAUUAGUUGUCUUAAAUGCUUCUCGUACUGCUCCAUGGUAUGUUGAUUAUGCUAAUUACAUUGUUGCUAAAUUUAUACCACCUAGUUUCACAUACCAGCAAAAGAAAAAGUUUUUCUAUGAUUUAAGACAUUACUUUUGGGACGACCCACACCUUUAUAAAGAAGGGGUAGAUGGUGUUAUUAGACGUUGUGUACCGGAGCAUGAACAGGAACAGAUGCUAUGCAAGUGUCACUCUGAGGCUUACAGAGGACACCACGCUGGAGAUAGAACUGCACAUAAGGUAUUGCAAUCCGGUUUUUAUUGGCCUACUCUUUUCAAAGAUGCCUGUAAGUUUGUCUUGUCUUGUGAUGAAUGCCAAGGAAUUGGUAAUAUUAGUAGACGUCAAGAAAUGCCUAUGAAUUAUUCACUUGCUAUUGAACCAUUUGAUGUUGGGGCUUUGAUUAUAUGGGACAUUUUCCUUCCUCUAAUGGGUACACACAUAUUUUAG